Molecule: long non-coding RNA, 438 nt
Organism: Neoarius graeffei (lesser salmon catfish)
Lineage: Eukaryota; Metazoa; Chordata; Actinopteri; Siluriformes; Ariidae
Exons: 2
Source: RefSeq, a predicted model, not a curated record
ACGGCGAACUAAACCUUUGCCUGACUAAACCACAGACAGUAAACAUACGACCUGCGUCAGAGACUUCAGAGAUCUAUGGACACUAGUGACAGACUUGAGGCAAUGGUUCUGGCUACUCUUGCUGAAUAUUCACUUCCUUUCACCUUUGCACCAGUGAUGGUGAACCUGGCCCAAGUGCUGGCUGAAGACAAUGUAGCCCUUAGUGGGCUGAAGCUAUGUUGCCUGAAAGAGACACAUGGCAAAGCAGAGGAAACUGGCCAUGGAACGGCUUGUCCAGGCCAAAAAAUGAAGAAAUGAGAUUUACUAUUAGUAAAUUACUCAGCUUGACAUUGUUGUUACUUGAUUGUGGUUGAUUUUGUUGAUUGACCAUCAGCCAUUUUGCACUGAUUGACCAAAAAACAAGGUUAUGUUAAUAAACAGGUUUUUUGUUUACCUGUA